RNAcentral lists this ribosomal RNA (468 nucleotides) under uncultured bacterium. Its description in RNAcentral is "partial 16S ribosomal RNA". It matches the Rfam family "Bacterial small subunit ribosomal RNA", at positions 28 to 507 of the family's 1533-position model. The record is from RNAcentral.
GAUGAACGCUGGCGGCGUGCUUAACACAUGCAAGUCGAACGGAAAGGCCCAAGCUUGCUUGGGUACUCGAGUGGCGAACGGGUGAGUAACACGUGGGUGAUCUGCCCUGCACUUCGGGAUAAGCCUGGGAAACUGGGUCUAAUACCGGAUAGGACGAUGGUUUGGAUGCCAUUGUGGAAAGUUUUUUCGGUGUGGGAUGAGAUCGCGGCCUAUCAGCCUGUUGGUGGGGUAAUGGCCUACCAAGGCGUCGACGGGUAGCCGGCCUGAGAGGGUGUACGGCCACAUUGGGACUGAGAUACGGCCCAGACUCCUACGGGAGGCAGCAGGGGGGAAUAUUGCACAAUGGGCGCAAGCCUGAUGCAGCGACGCCGCGUGGGGGAUGACGGCCUUCGGGUUGUAAACUCCUUUCGCUAGGGACGAAGCGUUUUUGUGACGGUACCUGGAGAAGAAGCACCGGCUAACUACGUG